GUGGAUGACGUCAAGUCCUCAUGGCCCUUACGGGUUGGGCUACACACGUGCUACAAUGGUGUGACAAUGGGUUAAUCCCAAAAAGCCAUCUCAGUUCGGAUUGGGGUCUGCGACUCGACCCCAUGAAGUCGGAAUCGCUAGUAAUCGCGUAACAGCAUGACGCGGUGAAUACGUUCCCGGGCCUU
This 185-nucleotide ribosomal RNA is filed under the name uncultured Paracoccaceae bacterium. RNAcentral's name for it is "uncultured Rhodobacteraceae bacterium partial 16S ribosomal RNA". It matches the Rfam family "Bacterial small subunit ribosomal RNA", at positions 1175 to 1382 of the family's 1533-position model. The record is from RNAcentral. Lineage: Bacteria; Pseudomonadati; Pseudomonadota; Alphaproteobacteria; Rhodobacterales; Paracoccaceae.